This is a long non-coding RNA of Homo sapiens (human), 569 nucleotides long. The record is from Ensembl. NCBI's taxonomy places the organism in Eukaryota, Metazoa, Chordata, Mammalia, Primates, Hominidae.
AGAUGCUUCUCAACUGGAGCAAACUCAAGCAGGCUGUUUGAAAACAUUUUGAAAACCUCCCAGCCAGAAACCUUGUUCCAGCAGUGCAGAGCAGCUCAGGUCCUGCCUUGAAUCAAAAGGAAGGAGACUGAGCCUCUCAGAGGACCAGGAACCAAGCCAAGGCUUGACAAAACCAGCCUCUCUCUCUCUGCUGUCUGGAAAGGCAGGCACUGAGAGAGAUGACCUUGGCCAGGCCAUGCAGGAAGACGGGAAAAUUGCUUACAGCUCUGACAGGAGCUGCACCCUGCAAAAAACAGCCUUUGGAUUGUUGACUCACCAAACUAGCCAGUUCGUGUUAAUGCAGCUGUGACACAGGAUGGCUUUGCUGCCUCCUAGGUGGUGAGACAAAGGGACGUGAGGAGGGGGCAAAAGGGAACGCAGAAAAAUACCUGGUUCAUGCAGACCUGUGGGAACAGCUGCCAAACAAAAAUUACUGAGGACAUUUGUGAGGGUAACUGGCGGAGAUCUUACCAGAGAUUUGAACUGUAAAGGAAAGUGGUAAAGUUUUAUUUAGGACACCCCAAGGCGGA